CAGAGGUCCCGAGCGUUGUUCGGAUUUAUUGGGCGUAAAGGGUGCGUAGGCGGCGGAGUAAGUUGGGUGUGAAAUCCCGGGGCUCAACCUCGGAAUUGCAUUCAAUACUGCUUCGCUCGAGUACUGGAGAGGAGGCUGGAAUUUACGGUGUAGCAGUGAAAUGCGUAGAUAUCGUAAGGAAGGCCGGUGGCGAAAGCGAGCCUCUGGACAGUUACUGACGCUGAUGCACGAAGGCCAGGGGAGCAAACGGGAUUAGAUACCCCGGUAGUCCUGGCAGUAAACGGUGCGCGUUUGGUGUGGGGGGAUUCGACAAUCUCCGCGCCGGAGCUAACGCGUUAAACGCGCCGCCUGGGAAAUACGGUCGCAAGAUUA
This 372-nucleotide ribosomal RNA is filed under the name uncultured organism. RNAcentral's name for it is "bacterial SSU rRNA". It matches the Rfam family "Bacterial small subunit ribosomal RNA", at positions 526 to 896 of the family's 1533-position model. The record is from RNAcentral.